GCCGGUAGCUUGCUCUCUGCAAUUCUCACAUGGCCGCCUACUGAAGCUAAGCAGGGCUGCGCCUGGUCAGUACCUGGAUGUGGUCAGGACCACAUGGCAAAGCUAGGUUGCUGCCAGAA
This 119-nucleotide ribosomal RNA is filed under the name Danio rerio (zebrafish). Lineage: Eukaryota; Metazoa; Chordata; Actinopteri; Cypriniformes; Danionidae. The record is from RNAcentral.